RNAcentral lists this ribosomal RNA (510 nucleotides) under Colletotrichum fructicola. Its description in RNAcentral is "eukaryotic LSU rRNA". The stretch from base 214 to 367 matches the Rfam family "5.8S ribosomal RNA". Lineage: Eukaryota; Fungi; Ascomycota; Sordariomycetes; Glomerellales; Glomerellaceae. The record is from RNAcentral.
GUAACAAGGUCUCCGUUGGUGAACCAGCGGAGGGAUCAUUACUGAGUUUACGCUCUAUAACCCUUUGUGAACAUACCUAUAACUGUUGCUUCGGCGGGUAGGGUCUCCGCGACCCUCCCGGCCUCCCGCCUCCGGGCGGGUCGGCGCCCGCCGGAGGAUAACCAAACUCUGAUUUAACGACGUUUCUUCUGAGUGGUACAAGCAAAUAAUCAAAACUUUUAACAACGGAUCUCUUGGUUCUGGCAUCGAUGAAGAACGCAGCGAAAUGCGAUAAGUAAUGUGAAUUGCAGAAUUCAGUGAAUCAUCGAAUCUUUGAACGCACAUUGCGCCCGCCAGCAUUCUGGCGGGCAUGCCUGUUCGAGCGUCAUUUCAACCCUCAAGCUCUGCUUGGUGUUGGGGCCCUACAGCUGAUGUAGGCCCUCAAAGGUAGUGGCGGACCCUCCCGGAGCCUCCUUUGCGUAGUAACUUUACGUCUCGCACUGGGAUCCGGAGGGACUCUUGCCGUAAAAC